This 5239-nucleotide long non-coding RNA is filed under the name Sorghum bicolor (sorghum). RNAcentral's name for it is "long non-coding RNA (SBIC_LNC012755)". Lineage: Eukaryota; Viridiplantae; Streptophyta; Magnoliopsida; Poales; Poaceae. The record is from RNAcentral.
GCUUCCGAACAACAUGAUACGAAACCCAGCAAUUUUUUUUAUUUUUUUUUUUGAUAUUUUUAUUUUAGUUAGGAGCACCGUAGGAGUAACCACAGAGAAUUUGAGCUUAAACAAGUUUAAGACAUGGCCUGCGGAAUUUUUUGAAGAUUGUGAAAAAUGUGAAAAAAAACUUCACGAGGUGAAAACUCAAACUUUGGAGGUGAAUUUUGAGGUUCAAAAAUUUUCAAACCCGCCAAUGGAGGGGACAGACAGAUCCAAAAAAAAAUUUUGGAUCGAUUUGAUAUAUGGAACGUUGAAAUCAAAGUUCGUAUGCGAAAGUUAUGGCUAUUUUACGAACGGACUACGAAUUAGAGGACAAAACAGUCUGAAAGUGGGAAAAAUUUGCGGUGGUGGCUAAAAAUUGAUGGAAACGGUAGGGAAAAUACACACGAACUGGACUCUAAUAAGAUCUAACCAGCAACAAGACCUCAACAAGAACACAAACUCAACACUGCGGACUCUGAAACUAAAAUAUGCAAAGGCUAUGGCGCGAAAGGGUUGUAGGACACGAAAACGAAAAAGCACUGGACUUAUGGUACGAACACAAGAACACUCGAAACUAAGGGUUGAUGUGAACCUAACGAUAUACCUAAUGCUUUUAUUACCACUUGAUGAGAACAAGGGUGACCUGAUCUUCAAAAAGGUUCUGGUAUCUCUCUAUUUGGUGCAGACGAGACACAAAUCGAUCCGGCUUCCGAACAACAUGAUACGAAACCUUGCAAUUUUUUUUAUUUUUUUAAUAUUUUGCUUUUAGUUAGGAGCACCGUAGGAGUAACCACAGAAAAUUUGAGCUUAAACAAGUGAAAGACAUGGCCUACGGAAUUUUUUGAAGAUUGUGAAAAAUGUGAAAAAAACAUCAUGAGGUGAAAACUCAAACUUUGGAGAUGAAUUUUCAGGUUCUAAAAUUUUCAAACCCGCCAAUGGAGGGGACAGACAGAUCCAAAAAGAAUUUUGUAUCAAUUUUCAUAUAUGGAACGUUGAAAUCGGAGUUCAUAUGUGAAAGUUAUGGCUAUUUUACGAACGGACUACGAAUUAGAGGACAAAACAGUCCGAAAGUGGGAAAAAUUUGCGGCGGUGGCUAGAAAUUGAUGGAAACGGUGGUGAAAAACACACGAACUGGACUCUAACAAAGACCUCGACUAGGACACAAACUCAACACUGCGGACUCUGAAACUGAAAUAUGCAAAGGCUAUGGCGCGGAAGGGUUGUAGGACAGGAAAAUGAUAUGGUACUGGACUUAUGGGACGAACACAAGAACACUCCAAACUAAGGGUAGAUGUGAACCUAAUGUUAUACCUAAAGCUCUGAUUACCACUUGAUGAGAACAAGGGUGGCCCGAUCUUCUGAAAGGUUCUACUAACUCUCGAUUUGGUGGAGACGAGACACAAAUCGAUCCGGCUUCCGAACAACAUGAUCCGAAACCCUACAUUUUUUUUAUUUUUUUGAUGUUUUUCUUUUAGUUAGGAGCACCAAAGAAGUAACCACAUAAAAUUUGAGCUUAAACAAGUGAAAGACAUGGCCUGUGGAAUUAUCUGAAGAUUGUGAAAAAUGUGAAAAAACUUCACGAGGCGAAAACUCAAACUUUGGAGGUGAAUUUGCAGGUUCUAAAAUUUUCAAACCCACCAAAAGCUAGGACACACAGAUCCAAAAUUUUUUUCUGAUCGAUUUUGAUAUAUGGAACGUUAAAAUCGGAGUUCGUAUGUGAAAGUUAUGACUAUUUUACGAACGGACUCCGAAUUAGAGGAAAAAACGGUCUGAAAGUGGGAAAAAUUUGCGGUGGUGGCUAGAAAUUGAUGGAAACGGUGGGGAAAAGCACACGAACUGGACUCUAAUAAGACCUAACCAGUAACAAGACCUCAACAAGAACACAAACUCAACACUGCAGACUCUGAAACUGAAAUAUGCAAAGGCCAUGGCGCGAAAGGGUUAGGACACGAAAACGAAAUAGCACUGGACUUAUGGUACGAACAGAAUAACACUCAAAACUAAGGGUAGAUGUGAACCUAACGGUAUACCUAAUGCUUAUAUUACCACUUGAUGAGAAGAAGCGUGACCUGAUCUUCCAAAAGGUUCUGGUAUCUAUCGAUUUGGUGCAGACGAGACACAAAUCGAUCCGGCUUCCGAACAACAUGAUACGAAACCCUGCAAUUUUUUUUAUUUUUUUUGAUAUUUUUAUUUUAGUUAGGAGGACCGUAGGAGUAACCACAGAGAAUUUGAGCUUAAACAAGUUUAAGACAUGGCCUGCGGAAUUUUUUGAAGAUUGUGAAAAAUGUGAAAAAAAACUUCACGAGGUGAAAACUCAAACUUUGGAGGUGAAUUUUGAGGUUCAAAAAUUUUCAAACCCGCCAAUGGAGGGGACAGACAAAUCCAAAAAAAAUUUUUGGAUCGAUUUGAUAUAUGGAACGUUGAAAUCAAAGUUCGUAUGCGAAAGUUAUGGCUAUUUUACGAACGGACUACGAAUUAGAGGACAAAACAGUCUGAAAGUGGGAAAAAUUUGCGGUGGUGGCUAAAAAUUGAUGGAAACGGUAGGGAAAAUACACACGAACUGGACUCUAAUAAGACCUAACCAGCAACAAGACCUCAACAAGAACACAAACUCAACACUGCGGACUCUGAAACUAAAAUAUGCAAAGGCUAUGGCGCGAAAGGGUUGUAGGACACGAAAACGAAAAAGCACUGGACUUAUGGUACGAACACAAGAACACUCGAAACUAAGGGUUGAUGUGAACCUAACGAUAUACCUAAUGCUUUUAUUACCACUUGAUGAGAACAAGGGUGACCUGAUCUUCAAAAAGGUUCUGGUAUCUCUCUAUUUGGUGCAGACGAGACACAAAUCGAUCCGACUUCCGAACAACAUGAUACGAAACCUUGCAAUUUUUUUAUUUUUUUAAUAUUUUGCUUUUAGUUAGGAGCACCGUAGGAGUAACCACAGAAAAUUUGAGCUUAAACAAGUGAAAGACAUGGCCUACGGAAUUUUUUGAAGAUUGUGAAAAAUGUGAAAAAAACAUCACGAGGUGAAAACUCAAACUUUGGAGAUGAAUUUUCAGGUUCUAAAAUUUUCAAACCCGCCAAUGGAGGGGACAGACAGAUCCAAAAAGAAUUUUGGAUCAAUUUUCAUAUAUGGAACGUUGAAAUCGGAGUUCAUAUGUGAAAGUUACGGCUAUUUUAUGAACGGACUACGAAUUAGAGGACAAAACAGUCCGAAAGUGGGAAAAAUUUGCGGCGGUGGCUAGAAAUUGAUGGAAACGGUGGCGAAAAACACACGAACUGGACUCUAACAAAGACCUCGACUAGGACACAAACUCAACACUGCGGACUCUGAAACUGAAAUAUGCAAAGGCUAUGGCGCGGAAGGGUUGUAGGACAGGAAAAUGAUAUGGUACUGGACUUAUGGGACGAACACAAGAACACUCCAAACUAAGGGUAGAUGUGAACCUAAUGUUAUACCUAAAGCUCUGAUUACCACUUGAUGAGAACAAGGGUGGCCCGAUCUUCUGAAAGGUUCUACUAACUCUCGAUUUGGUGGAGACGAGACACAAAUCGAUCCGGCUUCCGAACAACAUGAUCCGAAACCCUACAUUUUUUUUAUUUUUUUGAUGUUUUUCUUUUAGUUAGGAGCACCAAAGAAGUAACCACAUAAAAUUUGAGCUUAAACAAGUGAAAGACAUGGCCUGUGGAAUUAUCUGAAGAUUGUGAAAAAUGUGAAAAAACUUCACGAGGCGAAAACUCAAACUUUGGAGGUGAAUUUGCAGGUUCUAAAAUUUUCAAACCCACCAAAAGCUAGGACACACAGAUCCAAAAUUUUUUUCUGAUCGAUUUUGAUAUGUGGAAUGUUAAAAUCGGAGUUCGUAUGUGAAAGUUAUGGCUAUUUUACGAACGGACUCCGAAUUAGAGGACAAAACGGUCUGAAAGUGGGAAAAAUUUGCGGUGGUGGCUAGAAAUUGAUGGAAACGGUGGGGAAAAACACACGAACUGGACUCUAACUAGACCUAACCAGCAACAGGACCUCAACAAGAACACAAACUCAAAACUGCGGACUCUGAAACUGAAAUAUGCAAAGGCUAUGGCGCGAAAGGGUUAGGACACGAAAACGAAAUAGCACUGGACUUAUGGUACGAACAGAAUAACACUCAAAACUAAGGGUAGAUGUGAACCUAACGGUAUACCUAAUGCUUUUAUUACCACUUGAUGAGAACAAGGGUGACCUGAUCUUCCAAAAGGUUCUGGUAUCUAUCGAUUUGGUGCAGACGAGACACAAAUCGAUCCGGCUUCCGAACAUCAUGAUACGAAACCCUGCAAUUUUUUUUAUUUCUUUUGAUAUUUUUAUUUUAGUUAGGAGCACCGUAGGAGUAACCACAGAGAAUUUGAGCUUAAACAAGUUUAAGACAUGGCCUGCGGAAUUUUUUGAAGAUUGUGAAAAAUGUGAAAAAAAACUUCACGAGGUGAAAACUCAAACUUUGGAGGUGAAUUUUGAGGUUCAAAAAUUUUCAAACCCGCCAAUGGAGGGGACAGACAGAUCCAAAAAAAAUUUUUGGAUCGAUUUGAUAUAUGGAACGUUGAAAUCAAAGUUCGUAUGCGAAAGUUAUGGCUAUUUUACGAACGGACUACGAAUUAAAGGACAAAACAGUCUGAAAGUGGGAAAAAUUUGCGGUGGUGGCUAAAAAUUGAUGGAAACGGUAGGGAAAAAACACACGAACUGGACUCUAAUAAGACCUAACCAGCAACAAGACCUCAACAAGAACACAAACUCAACACUGCGGACUCUGAAACUGAAAUAUGCAAAGGCUAUGGCGCGAAAGGGUUGUAGGAUACGAAAACGAAAAAGCACAGGACUUAUGGUACGAACACAAGAACACUCGAAACUAAGGGUUGAUGUGAACCUAACGAUAUACCUAAUGCUUUUAUUACCACUUGAUGAGAACAAGGGUGACCUGAUCUUCAAAAAGGUUCUGGUAUCUCUCUAUUUGGUGCAGACGAGACACAAUUCGAUCCGGCUUCCGAACAACAUGAUACGAAACCUUGCAAUUUUUUUUAUUUUUUUAAUAUUUUGCUUUUAGUUAGGAGCACCGUAGGAGUAACCACAAAAAAUUUGAGCUUAAACAAGUGAAAGACAUGGCCUAUGGAAUUUUUUGAAGAUUGUGAAAAAUGUGAAAAAAACAUCACGAGGUAAAAACUCAAACUUUGGAGAUGAAUUUUCAGG